Molecule: long non-coding RNA, 4364 nt
Filed under: Sus scrofa (pig)
Lineage: Eukaryota; Metazoa; Chordata; Mammalia; Artiodactyla; Suidae
Description: lncRNA (ENSSSCG00065038811.1)
Source: RNAcentral
GGUCCAAUCAGAGCUGUAGCUGCCAGCCUACACCACAGCAACGCAGGAUCUGAACCAAGCCGAGUCUGUGACCUACACCACAGCUCACAGCAACGCCAGAUCCUUAACCCACUGAGUGAGGCCAGGGAUCAAACCUGCAACCUUAUGGUUCCUAGUUGGAUUCAUUUACACUGCACCACGAUGGGAAUUCCAAAGAGCUUCUUUUAAUGAGAAAAAUCAAUGGAGGGCUGGGACAGAAAACAAGAAGAGGAUACAAGGGAGGGCUGGAAAAGUUGCAGGGAAAGAGCACGGCCAAAGGCAUUUCAGGACUGGGUUUAUACUCAUGCAUUCAUUGGAAGUAUCCAUUAUGAUUGGACGGCUAUGAUUCAGAUAGAGGUGUUAAAGGAAAUAUGAUUAGAUUAAUUAUGAUUCAGAUAUAGGUGUUAGAGGAAAAAAGAACUACAUUAAUUUUGUACCUUUAUUCCUCAUAGUUUAGCAUUUACCUAAGAGGACAAACUCUCUUCUCUCCUUGUCGUCAGAAGCCAAGUAGAAAGCAAACUUGUUGGAAGAGCAGACAUCAUGCUUCUAACCCUUGGUACUUCUGGGGCUCAGGGGUUCUAAACCUCACUCUUAUUCCUACCUCUGCUUCUUACUAAUCUUUGCAAAUCCAAAUUAUCCUUAGCAGUCUAGUUUUCAGACCUAAUUACUUGGCCAUACACCUCUAACAUUCUCUGUCCAGGCCUGAAGGUUAAACCUUUUGCUUCCAGCCAUAGCAUCCCUAGGUGUCUGCACUGGGAUGGGCCAGGCCCCUUGCUCGAGUAGCACCUGAGGUCCAUUUUAGGAUAAAUCCAUUCCACUGGUGCAAUCACUCUCAGAAUGUGGUCCCUGGACUCACCAUGUCACUAUCACCUGGAAACUUAUUAGACAUGCAAAUUCUCAGUGUCCCCCAGGCCAGCACUCCUGAAUUGGAAGUUUGGGGUGAUGGAGGACAACAAUCUGUGUCUUCACAAGCCCACUGGGUGAUUCUGAGGCAUGCUAAAGUUUGAAAGGCCUGGUUUAGUUCUUGAGUCUUCUCACUCCUUGAGACAUCUGUCAGUACCAUGGGUUUGGACAGAGAGGACUUAGCGUUGGACGGCUCAUCAACUUAGCUGAUGGCAUGACCCUGGGUCCUUGCUCAGCCUCUGUGCUUUUCUAUUUUCUCAUUUUAAAAAUACACUCAAGAGCUAUAAUCUAGCUUUUGUUUUUUUCUGUGUUUGCUGAUGAGUAACUAAUGGAGGGUUGUGCCAUCCCAUGUUAAACUUAACUGCCUGACUGAUGCUUAGCAAUGGCUUUUGUCCUAAGGUUGUCCUUGUGAUUGCUGGGCCUCACUCUCCUGCUUUGGAUUUUAACAGCAAUCUUCUGGCCCAUGUAGACUCCAUAAAUCAUUGGGGCAUGGGCUAUAAUGCUAUAGAUUCAUCUAUUUGUAAUUAGACUUAAUAUGGAUUUAACCAUUAGUUAAACACUCAUGCUUCAGGAUUUGCUUAAACUGAAGAAAGCAUGACCUUUGUUCUAACAUGAAAAGGCUUUCCCUUGGAGUAUUUGAGGUCAAGGAAUGAGAGAGAACAUUUCUGUAACAUAAAGUAAUGACUCACAGGAAGGUCAAAUAGAAGCCAGGGCCCUUCAAGCAAUUAAUCUGGAUAAAAACCAUGAGAUGGGAGUUCCCGUCUUGGCUUAGUGGAAACAAAUCUGACUAGCAUCCGUGAGGACAGAGGUUCCAUCCCUGGCCUGACUCAGUGGGUUAAGGAUCUGGCGUUGCCCUGAGCUGUGGUGUAGGUUGCAGACGUAACUGGUGUUGCUAUGGAUGUGGUAUAGGCCAGUGGCUGCAACUCCAAUUCGACCCCUAGCCUGGGAACCUCCAUAUGCUGCGGGUGUGGCCCUAAAAAGCCAAAAAAAAAAAAAAAAAAAAAAAAAAAAAAAAAGAAAUGAUGAUGGUGACCACAGAAAAUACCAAUCCUACAGAAAGAACUGGUCAUGCACUUGCCAACUUUUCAGGAGCAAUGGAGGAGUCUUGAAAGGAUCCCAAAGAAACCACUCUUUGAGAAGUUCCUUCCUGGACAAGAACAGAAAUUAAGGAGAUGAAUGAAAGGAGAAUAAACAGUGCAGAUGAGGGUUUUAGUUUGGAUCCCCCCCAGAGGCAGAUCUUGAGCAAGAAUUUUAGUGCAAGUACUUUAUCUGGGAUGUGAUGCCAGAAAAUACCAGUAGGGGAGUGAGGACCCAAGACAGGGAAGGUAAGGAACAAAGCACAGUGUGUAUCACCAAGGGUGCUGUCACUAUCAGCAACCAAAAUAUAGGGUCAGAGGUUCAAGUUCAAGUCCAGGCUCUUAGGCUUAUCAACUUGGUCCCUUGAAAAAACAUAUCUUCUCUCUGUACAUCACAUCCCUCCACAAAGAGAUGGAGAUAAAAAUGUCCAGCGCAUGGGAUGAUUCUAUUGUUAUUAAUAAUACAUAAUUACCAUCUACUGAACAUGUCCUGUACCAGGACCAAUGCUGAUCAUGCCCCCACAUCCUGGAAAAUAGGGAAAUUCUCUUUGCAUUUUACUGAGAGAUCACAGAGACUACAUAAUUUUAAAAUCAUAAAGGGAUUAUGUAAACUAUAAGAUAAUGCUAAUGGGACCUUUAUAUAGCUUUUCAUGAGUCAUCAGGAAGCCUGUACUUUGUUAUAACUUUGUAAUUCAUGAGCUAUGAGGCCUCAACCAGAUCACUUUGCCUCUUAUUAAAAAAAAAAAAAAGAUUAUGCAAGAUGUGCAAGAUGUUUACACUAGAAGAGGCUUAAUGAAAUGUGCUCAGGACCUCCCAGUACAUGUCUUGGCAACUACCUACAAAUCCUUCAAGUUAUUAUUUGAAAAUAAGAGUUAAAAAAAAAAAAAAAGGAGUCCAUAAUGUUACGGACUGAACUGCACCCUCCACACAAAGUUUAUAGCCCCCAAAGUGACUGCAAUCACUACAAACACUUUGGAAAAGUGGUAGAAUUUAUCAAACCAAACAUGUGGCCCAGGAGUUCCCGUUAUGGCACAGCAAAAAUGAAUCCAACUAGUAACCGUGAGGUGGCAGGUUCGAUCCCUGGCCUUGCUCAGUGGGUUAAGGAUCUGGCAUUGCUAUGAGCUGUGGUAGGCUAUGUGGCUCAGUCACUCCCACUGUCCCAGCUAGACAACUGUGAGCAUUUAGCCUACCCACCAGUUGACCAAAGGUACAUAAGCAAGACUUACCAAGAUCAGCUGAACUUCACCCAGGUCAGCAGAACCACCCACAGGACUCACAGACUUCUUGGCAAUAAUAAAUGAUAACUGUUUUAAACCACUAAGUUUCAAGGUGACUUGUUAUGUGACAAAGGCUACAGCCAUAUCAGGACUCUCUGUGGCACUUGCUUAUUUGCUGCCAACCUUCCUUCUGAUACAGCUUCACUAUGUGGUGAGAGCUUUAGCCUGGUACUUAAGAACUUGGGAUUCAAAGUUUUGGAUUCAAGCAAUGGUAGAAAAAUGCAAGACUUGGAAAAAUCACCAUUAAAGUAUUGUUUCAUAUGCAUACAUGUAUGACUGUAGGUAUUUUAAUCUUCUAAUGGGUGCACCUUUGAUGUGUUGGUUCUAAAUAGUCAGUUUGUUCUGGGUACUAUUAGAUGAAUGAGAUGACUGGGAGCUCCACUUGACUGGGAGCUCCUUAAGGACAGAAAUUGCAGUUUAUAAGCAAUGGACAGGGUCUUAAGUUGGGUUUUCUCAGAGGUAGACCCUGGAGCAAAGACUCAAGCCUUCCCAAAGGCUUAUUUGGGAAGUGAUCCAGUACUGCUUAGGGAAUGGGGAAGGGUAUACCGUCGAAGAGUCACUUGGUGGACAGUGAGAUUUUUACCCUGCUGGGGAAAUUUAGAAAAAGUUUAGCAAACCUACCUUAAAUUUAUCUGACCACGAGGCUCAGAGAACUGGAGGAUCUAUCCCACAAACCUCCAUCUAUCAUUGAUUAUAAUUUAAUCCCAAAGGGAGUUUAUUUCCCAGCACUUUCAGCCAUAAGCACGUAUAGAGUAGGCUCUGGUAGAUGAAGAACACACUCAGGCAAAGCAAAAGGGGGCUGAAUAGCAGGGCACCAACAGCCGCCUACCACCAAGAUUGUGUCUUACACCUGCAACAUUCUAGACGUGAUUAAUCUUUGCACAUAGAGUCCUCUAUUGACCUAAACAUUUUUUUCUUCAGGAAAUUAAAUGAUUUUCUUUCCAAGCUUUACUGUGUAAAGUGGUUCCCAUUUUCACUCCCCAGAUACAGUUCUAGGGUUACCUCAUCUGCAGGAUCCUUGUACAACGUCUUCCUUUCACAUCAAUAAGUAGACAGGUGACAGAUGAAAGGAUUAAGAAGAUGUGGCACA